RNAcentral lists this ribosomal RNA (460 nucleotides) under uncultured bacterium. RNAcentral's name for it is "partial 16S ribosomal RNA". It matches the Rfam family "Bacterial small subunit ribosomal RNA", at positions 338 to 795 of the family's 1533-position model. The record is from RNAcentral.
CCUACGGGAGGCAGCAGUGAGGAAUAUUGGUCAAUGGCCGCAAGGCUGAACCAGCCAAGUCGCGUGAAGGCAGACGGAUCUAUGGUUUGUAAACUUCUUUUAUAGGGGAAUAAAGGUAUCCACGGGUGGAUAUUUGCAUGUACCCUAUGAAUAAGCAUCGGCUAACUCCGGCCCAGCAGCCGCGGUAAUACGGAGGAUGCGAGCGUUAUCCGGAUUUAUUGGGUUUAAAGGGUGCGUAGGUUGUUUUUUAAGUCAGCGGGGAAAGUUUGUGGUUCAACCAUGAAAUUGCCGUUGAUACUGGAAGACUUGAGGGGAGUUGAGGUAGGCGGAAUGCGUGGUGUAGCGGUGAAAUGCAUAGAUAUCACGCAGAACUCCGAUUGCGAAGGCAGCUUACUAAGCCAUAACUGACACUGAAGCACGAAAGCGUGGGGAUCAAACAGGAUUAGAUACCCGGGUAGUC